This is a long non-coding RNA of Oreochromis aureus, 1667 nucleotides long. The record is from Ensembl. NCBI's taxonomy places the organism in Eukaryota, Metazoa, Chordata, Actinopteri, Cichliformes, Cichlidae.
CCCCAAACGCAGACAGCUGCCCAUUCGUUCAUUUUCAUUAACAGCAUUGUAUUGUCCAAUCAAAUCUCUUUAUGCAACCAGGACCUCCCCCACCUUCCCUGUGCACUCAUAAACCUUGUAAAACAAAAUUUAGCAUGUAAAAGUGUGUUUAAAAGGUGAAACCGAAAAUUAAAAAUGAACCAUAAAUCUUAAGUAAAAACACUUUAAACUGGGGGCGGCCAUCAAAAACUAUUGGCUAGAGAAUUGAAGGGAGAGCAAACUAAACGGGCUAUAUAUAAGACAAAACAAAGUUAGGCAUCUUGCUUACAGAUCUAGAGGAUAUCAAUGGGCGCUUCAGUGAGCUUUACUCUGAAAUUUACUCUUCAAAAUUGUCUGCCCAACAAGGAGAUUUUCAGUCUCCCAAUUUUAAAACAAUACUAUUGGGCAGCUAACAUGAGAGCUCUGAUGUAUUGGAAUCACGAUGACUUAUUUGAGCCAACUAUGGGUGACCUAUCUUUAUGGCCAAGGAUAGAAGCUUCUUUUAAAUAGAACAUAUCUCUUUCUGCACUAUUGUUUUCUGGCUCUUUAGUAGUUGAUUAAAAAAACAAGUUAAGUUUCACCAUAAAGAAUUCUCUAAAAGUUCCAGUCAGAUUAGAAAGGCCUGUCAUAUUCCUAAUGUCUCUGUAUUUGGUCCCAUCUGUCAGAACCUCACAUUUGGCCCAGGAGAGUUGGAUGAGGUGUUUCCAAUCUCAAAGAAUAUAGGCAUUGUCCGUUUCUCAGAUCUUUACUCUCAGGAGUCACGUCAGCUGCCCCUCUAUCUCCAGAUGACUGCGGACCCUGGGAUGGUGGUGGCAAAGAAACUCAUCCUACUGACUUGGAAGUCAACUACCCAACCAAGUUUGGAGUACUGGCUCAACGAGAUUCUGUCUGUUCUACAACUGGAAAAGCUCAGACUAAAUAAACUUGGCACUCGAAACUAAUUUGGGACGAUAUGGGGGCCUUUUUUGGCCCAGUGUAACAUCGGUCUGCAUUUAUAAGAACAUUUUAUGUCAACUUUUUCUGUAAAGUUAUUUGCCAGUUCAUUUGUUUACCUGAGAGUUCCUACACUAACUAUGACUACUAUUGGGAAGGAUAUCCUUUGUUUCUGUACCUUCUCUUCUUUUUUAAAGUCUCUAAUGUCUCAACAUGUUUGUCUGUUUUUUGUGUGGAAUUUUGUUUUUUUUUAGUUAGUUCUUUAUUUAUAUUCUGUACUAAAAUUGCUAAUUAAAAUAUUUUAAAAAAUAGAUGCACCAAACUUUGUUAAAUGAUCCGACAUGUUAGUAGUAAUAUACCUAUACUUUUUUUUGCCCCACCCCCGCCCCCACCCGCAUCCCCUCACCCCUCCCCUAUCCCCCUGCGCGUUCAUGUGAGGGCAUGUGCGCGUGAAGAAGAGGUCAUCCUUAUCAAGAGCAUCUCAACUGUACUUCCAUAGUUUUCAUUACAAACAGUCUCCUUUAUCUUAUCAUGUCAGAGGGCAACUGAAACCAGGUCCAACAGAGCCACCAAAGGUUUUUUCACCUUUUAUCUUUCCAUUACACUUUCUACUGACCAACCGAUCCUCCAAACAGGUUUCACCUUUUGCUUACACCCCCACACCUUUAUCUCUGCAUCUCAGAGGCCAACUGAAACCAAAUCCACCUAUAUAAAAA